AGCGAGAAGGCACUUCUGCUUGGGCUUGGGCAAUUGGUCUAUGGUCGAUUCAGUAAGAAAUAGGAAUUGAGAGUUCUACCUCUAGGCUUUCUUCUUCUUUCUUUUGUUUUAACUCUUGAAGAAAGAAAUGAAAUUCUGUGAAAAUAAGCAAAUAUGUCAAGGAGUCUAUCCACCGCAUAUAGGCUUUAAGGACAUCGUGGCAUAACCGUCGAGGUAAAGUAGGGGGACAAUGGAAGGAUAGAAAGACAAGUAAAUUCCGCUUGAUGUAGAGGUUGAGUAGGUACCUUAAAGACAAGAAAGAAGUGAGACCCCAGCCCAGCAGCUUUGUUUCCGAGGUUAUGUAUGGAAUGGAAUAUCUGGGAAGGUAUCCCAAAGGGCUGUGUAGGGUUCUUCCUCUAUUUAUUGUAUAGAAUACAUAAUGAGUGCUAGCUUUCUGACUCAGAAGAAAGGAAAGAAAUCCCAGGCUCGUGCUUGGGACCGGACCAGAUAGGAGCGAUAUAAAGCAGAUUGCCCUAAAUUGGAUAGGUAGCCGAAUAAGAUGAUCUUAGGGGGCAUGCCCAGUUCAAAGCAAGGCCAUUGGGUCAAGAGAUCAUGACCUUGCACUCCUAGCCCCACGAGCCAACUAAGGAUGUUCGGAACCUGCCUGCCUGCUUCGAGAUCUUUCUCUUGAGUCAGAAGAAAGAGAAAUUCUCUGGUUCUCUUCUCUAGCCGGUGUCCCAUUCGGGGAUAAGUUCUUCAAUAAAGGAGGGCUCAUUCAUCAAGAUCAAGCCUAGCGAAGCGAAGCGACUGUUAAGGAGAAAAAAAAAGACGAGAGAGGCUCAAUGUAAUAUGAGUUGCGGAGAGAGAGAAGAAUAUUGAAUCCAAUCUUCUAUCAAAAAAGGGGUUUUAUACCUCACCCCGGAUGAGAAAGUGGGUUGGGGAAUAGACCAGAUUGAGUCGGUGUGCUCCCGGAAGGAAGAGAACGAAAGCCACAGAAAGGGGAUAAAGCCGCAGAAAGGGGCAUUGAAUGAGUGAGUCGUCCGUCUUCUUUCCCUAUUGUAGCCCUUCUUCCUUCUCUUGUCACAGCUCUCGUAGCUUUCCUUGCAUCAGAAGUUUCUGGCAUCUCUAUCCAUUAAUAUGAAUUCAAAGGCGAUAAAGUGACGAAGUAGCUUUCUCUUUCUCUCUGAAAAGGGGCAUUAGAGUAGGAUAGAUGUAAUUGAGUCGACCCGUCCGAACCAAUGAAACUCCAACGGAGCGCUCAAUGCCCACUACACGGGAAGAACUUAUCCACGAUCUUUGCGCCUUGCACUCCGUCCUCUUGACUCGUUUUUUUUCUCUUCUUAGAUAAAUGCGCUUCGCUUCGCGCCUCAACUGCGCCCCACUUUAGCCUUACAGUCGAGCCGCUCUCAUCACGCAAUAUUCUUUGCGCCUCAGCUUUAAUUUGAGAAUAUUGCUCAGAAGAAUAUUGAGCGAUAGAAGUCGUGAAGAUGAGUUCUCUUUCUUAUCUAUAUUCUUAUCUCUAUCUUCUUCUCAUUAAAGUCUCUUUUGUCGGAUAACGAAAAGAUAUAAGUACUUUCUCUUCUCUUUCUCUCUUAAAGUUGAAUACUAACUUGCCACCUACUAAAUCCCACUACGCGGUAAAGGAGCGAAGCCUCGAUCAAUCAUAUUUCAUUGAUCCUUUGCCUUUUUCUACUUUCAGUUUCUAGUCGGCGUAGAAGGCGCAAAGAAUAUUGCGGCAAAGAAUUUGCGACGGAGCGGUCCGUAUCUGAAUUCCGUAUUAGAAUGAUCCCUUCCCGAAGGAACUGCAUCGCAAAUCUGAUGACAUGAGCGAGAAUGAAUAGUCAAUGAAAGACUGUGAGAAUCGAUCAGAAUAACUACUAUUACUUCACUCUCCCGGCCUCGUCUCAUUCUUCAAGAGUCAUGGUGAGAUCUUUCUCGUCUUAUUCCAAAUAGUAGGUUUGAAUUUCAUAAACCCCAUUGUAAUGUUUUGAAUAGUCUAUCUAAGUGAAUGAUCCCUUGUUCAUCUGGACCUUUGUUUUUGGAGAAAAAGUAGGGUAGGUCGGCAUAGACCAGAUUGAGCUGUAUCGGCUGGAGAAGUUGUAUAAAAAAGAUCUCUCCUUGUGGUUUUGCAGUCCCAAGGCCUCAUUCAAGGCUUAAUCGAGAAAGUCAGGAGAUAGAGAGGGGCGCGUGAACUAGAAAGUAAGGUCGGAAGAAGUUGAGUCUGCUGACUCCGUUGUGGUUGUUGAAGACUAAUCUUUCUCGAGAACACUACGCGGUACAUAAACUAUAGCGGAAAAUCAAGGUCUUGAGUGCUCUUUAAAAGCGCAAGCUUGGACACAUAGUGAGAUAUGAUCACAGCCUUGAGACGAAUCCCUUUCCGAUUCAAACUCGGAAGCAGGAGCUCAGCAGACUCAAAGACGAGGCUGAAUUCAUAUUCGUCCUAGAAAUCACUCUUUAGUCUAUUUAUUAAGUCGGAGGGAAGCCCCUUCACACAGUUUAGGCUCUUUCUUUCUCAGUCACAGUGGCAGUCCGAAGGACUCGUUCAUUCCAUAUUACGGCGAUUCCCCGCAUUUUCUGCUAAAUUCAAGAAGAGAAGACAGAGUACGAAUCACGGCCAGCUAAAGAGAGACUGAAUCUCUCAGAACCGGGCAAUGCUUCGACCACUGGUCGAUCUGCAGAAUCCAUUUUAUACUUCUUUCUUCAUACAAAAAAGAGAAGAAUUUCUUAAUUAGAAUAAGAAGAGGAAAGAGAAAGCCUAGGGGACGAGACUAAAGAGGAAAGGCGCUAGGGACCCGAUCCGAAGCUCAGGCUCAGAAGGAGCAUACAAUUGUUGAAAGAACCUCGCGAGCAUGAAAGCGGGGCUUAUCGCUCUUCUCCCAGAACAGAGUUUAGACAAAGGCACGCUCCCAAAGUCAGAGGCACGCACCGAGGCGCACCAAACUCGACCGAAACUUUUUUUCUCUUUUCUUUUCAAUGUCAAAACUAUUCAAAACAUUAGUAUGGACUAUUCCGUAGCCUUUUUAAAAGACUCUAUUAUAAGGCGCAAAGAAUAUUGCGGCGGGAAGGCGCAAAGUUCGGUUAAUUACGGAAAGUCCGACUUCCUUCCAUAUGGAUGGUCCUACUUCCAUAUGGAUAGUCCUCCUUCUAAUGGAUAGUCCUACGGAUAAAUCCUGCGGACUGCGGACUCCGGACCCUGGACCUUUCUUUGAUGGACUGGAUCUUGUGGGCAUGUCCGAAGGACUAUUCGCUAUGAUAAAAUAGCUUAACGAGCAAGGCAUCCUUAAUCUUGUGAGAGUUGCUGGAAGCAAGGGGAAAUCACAGUAGAAAAGGAGAAGCUCUCAUUUGAUUAACACAUUCAGAUUGGGAAAUCGGUCUUGCUCAUAGCAUACAACUAUGAAAGAGCAUAUUUCAUACCCUAGCUCAUCCCCGCUCCUGCUCGCCCCUCUCCCUACGGUCGAGUCUCUUCGCCCCUCUCCUCUUAGCCUCGAGCUAAGGAUAACCUCUCCUCAUAUCGGGCAUAGAAACCCCCUCUGCUCUUGUCUCUCACUGCCUCCACUCGGGGUUUGAGACCUUCCUUAAGGUUCCUGCGGUCCUUGAUAAUCACAUUGGAUGUCCAUGAUCACUCUUGUUGAAUGAAAUAUGGGGGGUCUCCUCCUUCGCCUAAUGAAUAUGGGGAUCUUCCUCUCUCCUCCGAUCGUUGACCUUUCCUGUCCAAGAGGAGGGGUUUGAACGUCCAAGAAGCAAAGAUCUGACAAGUCUAAAAAGAGAAAGAACCUUACAUAGAAAAGAGAUCAUGAAGAGAGCUCAUACGACCAACUUGUCCAGCGACUGCCACUGAAACUCCUUCUUCCACAGCAAGAUCUACUAAUACUAACGGAUGUGGUGACCUUGCUGCUUCUGCCUAAACUGAAUUCCCCGAAGGGCGCCUCGACCCCUUGAUUUAUGGAUGUUCAUUAAAUAGUGGGACUGAUUAAUGGAACUAAUAUUUUGGAAAGAGGUUCAAUCACCUAAAUUCAAUCUGUUCCCACUGGUGGGAAUCGAACUUUCUUUCUAAAGGCCUUACGAUCUCAUGAAAGAGCUUACCGAUCGAUCUUUCUACUAAGCGCGACUUCAGCUACAGCUUCCAACAAAAGAAAAAUCGAGCCCUCACUCUCGCACAAGACCCCUUUAUUUAUGGAUGUUCAUUGAGCCUCAAUGAAACUCAUCUGGAGCUUGAUUUUGACAAGGGAAGAAGUACCAACCAGAAAGUGAAAGCAGCCUAGUGGAAGGCGCAAAGAAUAUUGCGAAAGCGAGACAGUAUCUUUUCGGAAGCUAGAGCUUGAAAGCAAGCCAGCGGUAUGAGAUCUUCUUCCAGUUGAGGAAGAAGCUAGAACUAGAAAGUAGGAAAUAGUUAUAUGAAAUCGGCAGAGACCAGGAAGAUUAAGGAUGCCUUGCGCAAAGAAUAUUGCGAGGAUUAUGAGGGUAUUUGGGUAUUAACUCAUAACUGUAGAAUGAGUCAAGCUAGAAGCGAUAACUACCUACUAAAGCUUGAUAAAGUCCUUCUUUGUCUUUUCAAAGUCAGAGCUAUCCCUUAAUGUUCAGGGAGCAUCUGGACCCGUCCGUAGGAGUAUUUUAUUAUGGAACUGACGAUUUGAGGUUAGUGACUUCUAACCGGGCUAGUCCUGAUCAUCGUUCGAGGAUGCCUCAAAGGGGACUUUCUGCCUUUCGCUCCGUGGCUUUCUUUACGUGGGCCGAGGAAAGAGGCUUCGACGCUGAAAUGAAGGGGGUGGGCUUCAGUCGAUCGGGGCUUCCUUUGUUCACCUCUUUCGAGAAUUCUUUGAGCCCUCCGUUAGGCGCAAAGAAUAUUGCGAGACCGCGUAGAAGGAGUCUUAUGAAACCUGGACCCUUCUUUCCAUAUGGAUAGUCCUACUUCCCUCCAUAUGGAUGGUCCUACUUCGGUUAAUUACGGAUGGUCCUACUUCCAUAUGGAUAGUCCUACGGAUAAGAAUCCUCCGGACUCCGGACUACUUCGGUUAAUUACGGAUGGUCCUACGGAUAAAUCCUCCGGACUACUUCUAAUGGAUAGUCCUACGGAUAAAUCCUGCGGACGUAGGACUCCGGACUACGGAUAAAUCCUGCGGACUGCUUCGGUUAAUUACGGAUGGUCCUACGGAUAAAUCCUCCGGACUACUUCCAUAUGGAUAGUCCUCCGGAUAAGAAUCCUGCGGACUCCGGACCCUGGACCUUUCUUUCUUUAAUGGAUAGUCCUACGGAUAAAUCCUGCGGACUGCGGACGUAGGACUCUAAAACGGACCGCAACAAGAUCAGUUCCACAGGUCCUCUUGACUAUUCAACCUAUUACACAGCUCCGAAGGAGGCUGAAUUCAUAUUCGGAAAUCAUUAGUUGCACUCAUCAAAUCCCCUAAUGGAUAGUCCUUCGGACCUGUCUUAUGGCAUCUGGUCCAUCUUUUCUUUGAUUUACUCGGGCCUCCGUAGCUUAAUAUGGGGAUCUGCUCAUUCAUAUGGAUCAAAAUCAGUCCUUCGCUUCAUUCUAUAUGUCCUUAUCAAUGAGACGAGAUCCAAUCCAAUUAGGAGGACUUUUCUACCUUUUCCUUGUUCAUUGAGGACCUUUGUUUUUGGACUUCUUAAUGGAACAGGUCCGAAGGACUCUUACAAGGUAGAAAACUCGUCCUUCUCCUCUCUCCGCAAUAUUCAUAGAUUAUGCUGAAGGAGGUCCGGAGGACUAUCCAUAUUAACCUGUGACCGCGGGAGGCUCCAUAAGACAGGGAUAUUUGUAGGCGCAAAGAAUUUGAGAAAGAAUAUUGACAAGAAGAAGAAUUGAAUUUUGAUGAAAAAGAUAAUUCAAGGAAGAAAGCCUACCAGUUCCUUUGUUUACGAGGCUGAGUCAGAAGCAGAGGUUAGGGCAACCCCUACCCCUAGGGCUCGGGGGGAAGGGUACCCAGGGGAAGGUGUGAGAUCGGAGGAUCGGGAUUGGAGUUUCACACAUCCCAAUUCUCAGACUUUUUCUUAGGGAAGACCCGUCCGGAGGCUUGAAAAGUGGACUUCUUUAUCCAUGAUUAAGCUACGAAGGCCCCAUAAGACAGGGAUAUUGUUGAGGUUCGACCAGUCCUCCGGCGCGAAGAACAAAAAUCAGGCUAGGCUCAAUGCAAUUUGAGAAAGCAAAGAUCUAAAAAGAAAGGUCCAGAUGACUAUCCAUUAGGGAAUUGGAGUGCAAGUCAUGAAUAGCUUGACUUUGGAGAAAGUAGCGGACGUAGAAGGCCAAGUUUUAGUGGAAUUCUCCGACCUAUCCACUGAAAGUAGCGGAGUAGUCUUGUCUUCUUCUUAUUCCUUGAAAUUCAAAGAAAGUCCUCCCCAUUUUUUCUAUGGAAGGACGAGGCAUAAAUCAUAUUUCAUUGAUCCUCUUUAGAUAUUAUGAUCUUUUUCUGGAGUCCUCCAUUAGUUCCGAACUUGGCUCCGCUUCUUUAGAAGAUAUUAUCUUAUCUUCUCUCCUCAUUUGAUCUUUCUCUUAUCUUAUCAAAAUUUCAUGAUGAUGCUUCCUUUCUUUCUCAUCAAAAUUCAAUUCCUUCCUGAAAUUCCACUUGAUUGUUAUGGACUGAAAGAACCCUAUGAUUCUGCUUUGAGUACUCUGACUCUUCCUCAACCUUCAUUCCUCUCCACUUGGGCGAGUCGAGCUUCAACUCAUCUGGAGCUUGAUUUUCUUUGUCUAGUUCUACCCUCGUAAACCAACUCAGCUGCCUCAGCAGCAACGGCCGGCCGCUUCCUCUUCUUGUUUAUGCUGCCAAUAGCUCAAACUCAUGAUUCCAAAUUGAGAAAUCUCAUUGAUCAAUGAGAUUUUGAAGAAUGAUUAGAUUCGUCGAAUUUCACUCAAUUUCUCUCUAGUGGUAUAAAUACGCUUCGAUCACUCAUAUUACAUUGAGCCUCAACCAAAAUAAUAGCCGCAAUAUUCUUUGCACCUCCCCGUAGUUAGGAGUAUUAAGACCGGUCCGGAGUCCGGAGUCCGCAGGGCCAAAGAAAGGUCCAGGUGAUUUAUCCGUAGGACCAUCCAUAUGGAGGGAAGUAGUCCGGAGGAUUUAUCCGUAGGACCAUCCGUAAUUAACAGAAGUAGGACCAUCCGUAAUUAACAGAAGUAGGACCAUCCGUAAUUAACAGAAGAAGGACUCUAAAACGGAGGACCUGUCUUAUGGGGCCUCAGUAGCUUAAUAUGCUUCAAUCUACCAUAUUAACCUCUUUUUCACAUUUGAAAACCUUCUACGUUAGAUAUUAUGAUUCUCUUUUUCUUCCAAUAUCCUCAGCAAUAUUCUUUGCGCCUCUCAUAUGAGAGACUAAAAAAUAGUAGUUUUAAGGAAGAGGCGCAAUUCAAUAUGCGAUUGAGAUUUUGAUGCCUGAAGCGAGGUGCGAAGCGAAGAGUUUAGGGUUGAAGCUGAAGGCAUGCGGGAGUGGUCCGGUGGGAGUGUGAAAAGAGGAUAAGUAGAUAAGCUUAGUGAAUUCACUCACUUAAGAAUAAUCUCGUUAACGAGAAUUCCCCAUCUCGAACUAACUCAUCCCCCCUUUUCUUUUAUGGCGGUUUUUUUCUUUCAAACUUGCAAGGCUCGAUUCAAUUGAGUUUAGUAGGCUUUCAUCGAGCCUUCGUCUGCAAGCCUCCGGCUAGGUAAAAACCUAGGAAAAUGUGCAUUCGCACUAUGAUUAGUGCUUUUGAUUUGGGUUCAUUCUCAUUCCUUCCCUGAAACCCGGCAUUCAAAGAGUUAACCACCAUUUCUCUUUUCACAUAAAAAGAAGAGGUUCGUGCGGGGCCACCCUUGUUCAUUGAUUUCUCUCUUGCUCUUCUUGCAGACUGAUGAUUUGACUGAUUUUAGCCCUUACUCGAGAUCGUGCAGGUCUAUUUCAGAAGAGACCAUAGGUAAGUCAAAGACCUUGUUCAUUGAGGCGGUCGGUCAGAUGAAAGAGAUGUAAAGGAAGAUGGUAGCUCUCUCUCCUUGAAGUCCUUGACUAAAGCUUAAUAAGAUAGUGAAAAAAAUGAAUGAGAUUUGAACCGUACGAAUCGAGAAGACGGACGCGCCGGAACCUCAUGGGGAAGAAGUCAAAUCAGUACUAUUCUCAGAGGUCAGAAGACCUCCAUACAGAGGCUAGACUUCCAAGAAGAGAUCCCAAUGAUAGAGAUCGGGUAUCCGCUUGACUUAGCCUAUUCAGGAUAUAUAGGAGGAGUCGGAGCCCUAGCUGACCGAGAUAUCUUCACUGAACUUAUUCCUUUUCAAUUCAUUCCUUCAUAAUGAGUUGAGGCUGAAUUCUCUUAAUAUUCAUUCAGUGUGCGACUGAGAACUAAUAAGCUUCAGUAGGGUCCCCGUCCCCUGAAGUUGAAGCCAGCAUAGGCCUUACUAAAAUAGCGAUUUCCCCUCAUCAAAUCCCCCGUCCUUCGGACUGUGACGCAUCUGGACCCGCGCAAAGAAUUUGCGAAGGACUAUCCAUAUUAACCUAGCCUCUCGCUCCUAAACUCAGUCGAGCUACUAAUUAUCUUUCCUCUCGCAAAUUUGUCAAGCGACUACGUGAAAAGAGCAACUGCAUCUUCAAAGAAGUCUCGACUGAUAACGGGAGCUAAUUCCGAAACCUUGAUGAGAGCCUAAUGGGGAGUGCUUCCGAUUCUGCUUUGAGUACUUACUACUCAUCCAUUCCACGUGAAAUUGAAUCAAAAAUCAGAUGUUAUAAUAGAGAAAUCAGCCUAUUUGGCUAAGUAGCUCCGUACCCGAGCCGAGAUAGGAUGACGCUACUGCACUGCAACUCGAAAAAAAUAGCCACUACUGCCCAAAGACCACACCCUUUGGAUCGAUCCGACGAGUCUCGUCUGAGUGAAAAAGCUUAGCUUCGCGCCUUUCUCGCCGAACUAUCUUAUCUGUACGCCUUCGCGGGUUGGUACGGAUGUGCGCCCAAUAAAGAAAGCACUACGCGCUUUUUCCAAAUAUGGGUUUAGUGACCACUUUCCGAAAUCAGAGAUUCAAGUUCAUAUGGAUAAAGAAGAUUUAGUGGAUUUAAGAGAGUCCUUCGCCUAAUGAAUAUGGGGAUGAUGUUGGAUAAAAGUCAUCCAUUCAUUCUUUGCCUUUUCCCCGUAGAAGGAGUCGACUCAAUUACAUUCCAUUUACAGUCGCUUCGCCUCCAGUUCUCUCUUCUGAAACUCUUCGUCGUCCAAGUAUAAUUCAUACUUGCACUCCUUUCUUUAUCUCUUCUUUAUUAAUUAAGUCGCUUGGCCUCAACUCAUCUGGAGCUUGAUUUUCGCCCCUCUCCUUACAGUCGAGCCGCUUUCGCCCCUCUCCCGUAGCGUAGUAGGAGAUGUAGUGCCUCCAGUGUGCGCUCCUCUUAAGUCUUCUCAUAUUAAUUUCACCUUGCCAUAGUAAUCUUUGAAAAGAGCAAACUGGUCUGCCUCGUUCAUUGACUUUCUUCUUCUCACCUUUGUUUUUGUACGAUUUUCAGUCAAAUCCCUUUAAGUCUUAUAAACGGCAUUCUUAGAAAAAGAUGUCCAAAGGAUUGAACAAGAAAAGUGAGAGCCAGCAUAGCCCAAAACCUAGGAGUGGUCAAAUGGGGAUUUAGACUAGCAAAGUGGGGAUUGAACCUUCCCACUUGCCUCAACCCAAAGGAAGAACCGGGUAAGGAUGAAAAGAAUUUUGGAAUGGAACCCAUUGACUCAAGUCUUUCCCGCGCAAGAACUGGCUAGACACCCGGAUGUGGGUGGGGAUGUAUCAACGGGUGCAUGAUCCACGCGUCAAGUACGGGAUAUGAAAGGAGUGGAAGAGCUCGACAGAGAAGACGAAGGGAAGGAGCUUCUUGGCCGGAGGUAACUAAGAUACCUUUUUUACCCGGAUACCGGUUUUUCAGUGUGAUCAUUGAGUACGCUAGAUCUCACAAAGAAGGCUUAUAGCGAGGCUUUGAACUCAAUUAACUGGGAUUGUUCAUCAUCUAAAUCAAAGUACAAAGAGUGAAAUGCAUAGACAUGAAUCAGGCAUGAAAGAGCUUCCUCAUCAAAAGAACAAGAGUGCCACCAACGACUUCUAAAAACCUCUCCUGCUCCCCCCUUUCCACCAAAAUCAAUCUCUCAAUAUUCUUUCUCAAAUUCUUUGAGCCUCCCUCCGAAGGAGUUCUUUAUAUCCAUAUUAGCUUAGCUUUUUUGCCUCAUCUUUAGUAGGGCUUCCCCGUCUAACUGAAAGAGCUAGAAGAGAGUGGGCCCCAGGAGCGAGACCAGGAAAUUCCCCGUGAAGUCAGAGGUCUCGGCCGAGGAGGAUCUUCUUUUUGUCCCAAUGCCUGUUGAGUCUAAUUCAGUUGAGGAAGAUGCAGUUUAAGCAGCCCUUUUUUGAGUAGUUCUUUUUCUUGUUCUCCUUUCAGUUCAGAUAGACAUUCUUGAUUUUGUUCACUUUGCUCCCUCCCCCAGUGCAAAGAAUAUUGCGAGACCUCAGGUUCAAAAAAUAUUGACUAGACUCUUAAGGCUGCAUAAGACAGGUCCUACGUCCGGAGUCCGCAGUCCGCAGUCCGCAGUCCGGAGUCCGCAGGGCCAAAGAAAGGUCCAGGUGAUUUAUCCGUAGGACCAUCCGUAAUUAACAGAAGUAGGACCAUCCGUAAUUAACCGAAGUAGGACUAUCCGUAAUUAACCGAAGGACUCUAAAACGGAGGACCCAGAGAAAGAUUAUACUUUCUUUUUAGGACUCAAGAUGGAAUAUGAACUUGGCAUCAAUCAUCACGCAAUAUUCUUUGCGCCUGGAGAGACUUUCUCUUGUUGGAUAGGCUUGAUAUUCCGCUCCGUAGGUUCCUGACUUGUUAUGGGACUCUGAAAUCCAUAUUUCUCUUUCUGACUUCUGACUGGUCCGAAGGCUAGGUUAAUAUGGAUAGAUAGUCCGGAGGACUCUUAGCUUGAUUUUUCAAAGAAGGUAUUGAGAUUUCUUUGUUGAUGAGGCGCCAUAAGACAGGGAUAUUGAUUGAGUUCCUGCCCCUUUCUUGAAAGCUAAGUGAAAGAGCUGAACCUCCUACGCCGCGGACUCUUAUCUUUUCUCGUAAAUGGGAUUAGUGAAUUAGCGAGAUCUUCUUUAUUUUAUAAGCUGCUACUUAUUCAUCCUGCACAAGAGAUCCUUCAAUUCCUCAAGGUCGAGAAGCUUUUCUGCUUCCACAAGAGCAAGAACUGGGAAUGGAAUGAGAGGACUCCCUGCGCGAUCCUUCUUUUCCCCUUUCCCUUUCCUCUGUGAACCAAGUCUUAAUUUCUUUAUGUACGUUAAUAUUACUCGAAAAUAUGAUGAAUAGUCCAGAGGACGUCCUUCGGAGUAUAUAGCGUAGGAGGAGCAAAGAAUUUGAUCUUUAUCCCCCCUCCUUAGCAUUUAGUGGAAUAAGACUCGUCCGGAGCGCGGAUAUUAUCGGCUAUUUAACAGCUUUUUUUCUCCAUAAGACUUUUUAAGCUAAAAUAAUGGCAAUAUUCUUUGAUCCUCCCUAAUGGAUAGUCCUUCGGACCUGUCUUAUGGCACCUCCGGUCUUCUCAAUAUGCUUUGCGCCUAAGAAAAAGAAAGAAUGUCUUUCUGAGACAUCACGCAAUAUUCUUUGCGCUCAUUGAUAAGGGCAAUAUGCAAAGCUUUGAGCAAUAUUCUUUGCUUUUCUCAAUCCCCCGUCACCUGUCCUACGUCCUACGUCCGCAGGAUUUAUCCGUAGUCCUACGUCCUACGUCCUACGUCCGCAGUGCCAAAGAAAGGUCCAGGGUCCGCAGUCCGCAGGGCCAAAGAAAGGUCCAGGUGAUUUAUCCGUAGGACCAUCCAUAUGGAGGGAAGUAGUCCGGAGGAUUUAUCCGUAGGACCAUCCGUAAUUAACCGAAGUAGGACUAUCCAUAUUCAGGAGCGGAAUCCAGAAUAGACCUCUCAGUAUCCGGACCAUAAACUCAAACUAGAAGUCUUCAUUGAUUUUCCCUGUCCUAGGAGUUCUUCUUUCAUUGCGUUUUCCCGGCUUUUUUGCUUCUAAAUGUGACUUUUGUUAAUCUUGAUAUUUAACGAUAAUUGUCUAAUUUUGACGGAUUUUUCAUGAUUUCUUGCUACUUUAUAGGCCCAAAACCUAGCAUUUUCUUGUAUUUCCCUCCGCGAAGGACUAGUCUGAAAUCUAGCAGAUUAAUCUGAAAUCUAGCAGAUUCAUAAUUCUUCUUGAAUUCGAGUUAAUGAGCCCGUAGUUAGGAGUAUUAAGACCGGUCCUACGUCCAUUUAUCCUCCGGACUAUCCAUCAAAGAAAGGUCCAGGUGAUUUAUCCGUAGGACCAUCCAUAUGGAAGGAAGGAGGACUUUCCGUAAUUAACCGAACUUUGCGCCUAGCCUUCGGACCUGUCUUAUGGGGCCUCAGUAGCUUAAGAUGGGACCGGCAAGACCAUAUUAACCUUUGGGACUUGUUUAUGAAAUCCAUAUGAAAUUAAGCGGUAGCAUGAUAAGUUCUUCCAUUUUUUUAGCAGAAGUGAGUAAAAGAAGGAGAGGUCUUGCAGCUAAGCUAUCCCCAUCAUCGGUGUGAAUAGGCUAACCCGACCAAUAAGAAUAGGAGCGAAGCUGCCGAUAUGGAUCCGCUCGACCUAGUCUUGAGUCAGAAAGUCAAUGAACAAGGCGCAAAGCAAGCCCACUACAUUAAUUGACUGGAUCUUGUGGACUAGCGCUAUCACUAUUAAGUAGGGCGCGGAGCAAAGAAAGCUUCUUUCCGCUUCGGUUGAGGAAAGCGAGAACUCAUUUUCAGUGACAUAAUAUCUAAUUUGUUAUUCUUGAAUUGAAGAAGAAAGAAGACAGAGUUCUCAGAUCUCUUUAAAGAACAAAAAGGCUAGGUGUGAAGCCGCUCGACUCUCAAGGAGAGGAAAGAGUAGGGAGCGGACUAGAAUAUCUCUGAUUAUUCUCGGGUAGGGGCAUUGAAUUCAUCUUCUUUCUACCGUAGAAGGAGCGCAAAGAAUUUGCGAAAGAAGGCGUCACAGGUCCUCCGGACUGCGACUGUCUGUCCUUCGGACGGGGAAUUUGAUUCCUUUCAAUUCAAACCGCGGAGCAUAAGAAGGGGAGGACUUUGAUUGGAAGUUUCAGUUCCAUUCUCAUCAGUUCUCAAAUAGGGGAUUGGAUAGGCUAAUAGUCCUUUUUUUAGGUUUGGAAAGAAAGUUCAAUAUUCUUUCUCAAUCUUCGAGCAAUAUUCUUUGCGCCUGUCUUAUGGCACCGCGGAGUGGGCUUGCAGUCCUAGAAAUCCAUUAUUUUUUUCGUUCGUCAAUCAAAGGUUGUUAUCCUUCCUUUCUAGUCCUAUCUACUUUCAGCGCUCUUACCUCGGUCUGAGUAGGUUCAAAUCCUACAGAGCCUUCUUCUUAUCAUGCGAUAGGGAGCCAACCACUCAACCACGAAAGAUGCUUUUUCAGUUCCCUGUCUUUCUUUCCCCUGGGAAGGAAAAGAACCUUAUAGUGGCCUUUCCACGCCCCAUAUUGAUUGAGAAUACCUCGUAUUCUUGGUCUUGGUGUGUCCUAUUCCCCUAUCAAAGCCUUCUCAUCAACGGAUGGUAGGCUUUAUCUUGACUUUCUUCUUUUAUCAGAACUCAAAUUCUUUGAGCCUCACCCCCGUCCUCUUUAGAGUCCUUCGGACGUCCUCAGUCCUUUCCAUUAGUAGUUAGGAGUCUUAAGACCUCAGUCCUAUCCAUAUUAACCUGUGACGCCUUCGGACCUGUCUUAUGGCGCCUUCUAUCCUGGAAGUCUCGUCAACUCAUCUGGAGCUUUGAUUUAACCUGAAAAUAUGAAUCACUCAUAUUGCAUUGAGCCUUAACAGUCCGUAGGACUAUCCAUUAGAACUUUGAACCUCCCUCCAUAGUCAAUGUUUCUGACUCACCAUCAAUAUCCGAAGUUGCAGGAGCAAAGAAUAUUGCCUUCCACUAAGAGCAAAGUUCAUUGAUCUCUUUCUUAUUUCUUAAGACUACUCUUGACGAAUGAUAAACCGAGCCUACUGAUAAAAACCUUCUAGUAUCAGGGUCGUACGCCUGGAACACGUCGUACAAUUUCGGCGAUUACUAAAAUCAAGGAGUAUAUCCCCUCUCCCUAUCGCAGCUUCGCACCUCUCGCUUUAGUAGCUAUCGCAGCUUCGCACCUCUCAAUAAAGAAAAGCUGAGCGACUAGAUGAUUAGAACUCCUCCUCCGCGCUCCGUUUUAGAGUCCUUCGGUUAAUUACGGAUAGUCCUACUUCGGUUAAUUACGGAUGGUCCUACUUCCAUUAGAACUUUGCGCCUAGCCUUCUUUCGCAAAUUCUUUGCGCCUCCGUCGCAAAUUCUUUGCUCAUCACCCCAUUAAUAAAGUAGCUUAAAUAGUGGUCCUCCGGACUAUCCAUUAGAAUGAAUUCAGCCUCUCAAAUCCGCAAUAUUCUUUGCACCGCUACGUGGGCCACGAUCUUUGCUCCUUCUGCUUCAUGAUUUUUGGAUAGCUCUGACGGGACCAAAUUCUCAAUAUCCCUCUUAUGGAACCUUCGGACCUGUCUUAUGGCACCUUCUGACUAUGAAUAGCUAUUACUUUGAAGGACUUCUUUAUCAAGCUUAAUCUUGAAAGAAAGGUCCAGGUGACCUACAAUAUCCCUGUCUUAUGGAGCCUCCUCCAGAUAUAAGGGGUCCAUCUGACUAUGAAUAGCUAUUACUUUGAAAAGCGGAUGACUCAAAAUCUUUCUCUCUUCUCAAAUUCUUUGAGCCUUGGACUUGACUAUUUACCGUGUAGUGGGAGUAAAUACUAUUUAUGUUGGAAGAAAGCCUAGAAGUUAAUAUCUUUCCUUAUCAAUGAUCUUUGCUCCUCCUAAUCUCUUCUUUAUGGCUUCCAAACCUACACUCAUUCAUUGAUCUAUUUUGAUGGGACCUCUUUUUCAAAUAUUCUGAAUAGUCGUAGUCGUCCGGUCCGGAGGACUCGUCCAUCCACUAUUUCCUUUCCGUCGCAAAGUUCCAUGAAAAAUCAAGCUCCAGAUGAGUGUCCAUUAGAUCCAUUGAAUUUGAGAAGAUAUUCUAACCUCUCCCGCUCCAUGGGUUCCACUUCUCUCGUUCGGGAACAUUCGCCCAAUUCUUUUUCAUCCCGUCCUCCCCAAAAAGCAAAAAAUGAUGUUACGACCACUGAACAAACUUGGUUGACGAACAUGGUUUAUGCGCCGCUAAUGUAGCGGCUUGUCGAGCAUUUGACAAACUCACACCAUCCAUUUCAAAUGGGAUUUGUCCCGUGGACACACGAGCAAUCCAACCCGUAGGAUUUCCUUUUCCUCUUCCCAUUCUGACUUCUGUAGGUUUCCCGGUAAUAGGGAGAUCUGCGAGAACUCUUACCCAUAUUUGACCAUUUCUUCGGAAUUGUCCGCUCAUAGCACGAUGGAAUUGUCCGCUCAUAGCCCGACGCGCUGCUUCAAUGGCUCGAUAUGAAAGACGACCAGCUCUACAACUUUGAGUGCCAUAUCUUCCAAAACCAAGUUGUGUACCGUCCGGUUUGCAACCCCUACUACAUCUGCCUUUACGAUAUUUACUAUAUUUCGUACGUUUCGGAUAUAACACCUUCCUUUUUCUUUUUGAUAUAUGAAAUCCACACUUUGACACCUGAGAUUCCAUAACGAGUAGAUACUUCCGCAGGAGCAUAAUCGAUUUUCUGGUGAAAUACAUUACGAGAUGUUUUUCCAUACUUUCCGCAUUCAGUUCUAGCUAUUUCCGCGCCUUCUGAUCGACCUGAACAACAUAUACGGAUCCCCUCAACCCCUUUAUUCAUUACAAAUGGAAUAUCCUGAACUAUUUGACUCAAAAUGGAACGAAAUGAUCUUGUUUUCUUUCUCAGUUGAAAAGAGAUGUCUUGAGCAAUCGGAGAAGCACUUUGAUAAACAGAUUUGAUCUUGACUGACUCAAUUAAGGUAUUAGUCUUUGUUCUAUUAGACAAGAAAGAUCGCAUUUUUUGCACUUCGUUCAAAUAAGAGUUGUACCCUACGGGAAUUCUUCUGUUUCUCAGUAUGAUCUCUAUCAUCAUCUCUAUUCCCUUUAUCAAUUCUCCUAUCCAACCUAGGUCUAUGAAUUUCUCUAUCAAUUCGAUUACCUUAUCCUUACCCAUGAGGUUCCAAGAUUUGAUCCUUAAUUGACCUAGGAGUUCUUCCCGGGUAUCCUCAAAAAAAAGGUUUUUAUCCAUCCCCUCCCGCUCACAUAUAGCUGCUCCUAACUCUACUAAUGGAAAGUCCUUCGGACUCCGGACGGCUCCUCUUGAGGAGUUUUCUACCCUUUUAGAGGCGAAGGACUUGUUUAUGGAACUGAAACCUUCAUGUUCCCGGUCCCACUCCGCGGUUCCAUCUAAUUCAUGUUCCUGCUUUUUCUUAAUGGAACUCAAUGUUAUGGUAGCACCGAAGAAAGGAAAGAGCGAGAUGCUUCUUUUUCUUGUUCCCGCGAAACGAAGAUCAUUCCCUUGUCGAAUGAAGUGGGUCAACCUCUUUUUGGCUUCGGCCAAAGUCAAAGUGGUCGAGCUUUCUAGAAAAAAAGCGAUGCGAGAACGUAUUCUCUUAUCUAAGCUUCUUCCCUGUGUAUUCGCUCCCCCCUGAGUAGAUGGUUCAGCCACGCCCGGUGCCACGAAAUGAUUGAGAACGUAGACGGGGUCGAAAUGCAUUUUGUUCUUUGUAUUCAAUAAGUAUUGCAUGACCAAAUAAUGAAAGGAGGAGCGCACUGCGGGGAGGGUGAUUUUCAGUAGAUGACUCGUCGGGCCGUCGGAGCGGGACUGAUUUGGGAAAAAGAACUUGAAUAACUUCGUUUUUCUGAAGGAGUCGUCAUUUUCUAUCAGGAAGGCUAUGUCAUUUACAACUCCGGCAUAUUUCGGAUGCUUGAAGGCCCCGCCGCUGACGCGAAGUAAUUUAGAAAGAAGAAUCUUUCGAGAUGGUGAUCGGUCAUGGUAUCCAUAGCCUUCCUUCUUUUUCGGCCAAAUCCGAAUUGCCUUUUGCUUUUCCCGGUCUGAGAGCCUGAUCGACUCGACUCUUUUCUCUGCCUCCAAGGCAUCCUUAUCUUGGGGGAGUAAAUCAAGCUCCAGAUGAGGAGUCCGAACCCCUCCGAAGGAGCAAGGAGUCUUAAGCGGAGCGGCAUGAAAUUCCUCUUCCUUUCGUUCUUCUUCUCUAUCCUCGCUUGAAUGAAGACACCCGAUUGGCCCGACUUUCCCAAAUGCCCACCACCGGCCCUUCUCCUCCUUUCCGGGUUUGGAUUUUUCGCCUCCUUUCAGUCCUCGUGGUCGACGAGGAAGAAAGAAAUGAAUGAAUGUUCUUUUGGGAAAAUGUAAAAUAAUACACCUACCGAGACGAAAGCCAAAGGUCAGUCUCUCCGGUGGACGUAUCGAACCGAAAUAAGAUCUCAGAUUGACAUCUUGAUACAGUGAUUUACCAUAAUAAUAAAUAGAGUCAAUGGCGACUCCGCCGUGGCGUGGGAAGAGCCGCUUCUUUCUUGCUUGAUAGGGGGGGCUUCUAUUCACCAACGCAGACUAAAAGUGCUCUCCGAACCGUGCUGGAUAGUCACCCAUCACACGGCUCUCAAACCCAACCCGUGGUCGAUCCCGGGAGACAAAGUCAAAGCGCUUGAUCCUUUGCCCCAUACUUUGAGAUCCUCCUCCCCGCCGAUCCAAGCAGCGAGGCUACUCGUGCUCGACAAUAUCCCUGUCUUAUGGAGUGGAACUAUAAGGGGUCCAGAUGCGCGAAGAACAAAAAUCAGGCGCAAAGAAUAUUGCCGCAUCUUUGCAAAUAUUCAGGAAGGUGAAAAGAAGAAAAAUCAGGCGCGGGUGCAGAUGACUAUCCAUUAGAGAAUUUGACUUUGGAAGACUAUCCAUAUUAACCCAGAGAAAGAUUAGACUUUAUUAACUUCUUCUUGUCUUUGAGAAAGUCCGUUCGCUCACUCAGGUGGUCUGAAGUCUUUUUUAGGUUCAGACUUGUUCUGCUUUGAGAAAGGAGCACGCACCGGCCGAAGGCUCUGAAUGAAUAAGAAAUAGACAGCGGAGGUCAGAAAUUUCUUGAUUCUUAUUCCACCGAGUUGAAGCUAGCAACAUGUCGAUUACACACCGGAGGUUGGUAAGAACUGAGGGACAAUGCCCCCUCCCCUAACCGCGGAGUGGGUGGGCCUACCAGCAAAGCAAGAGGUACUUGAUCGGGCUAAGGGGGAGCGCUUUGCUUUCGUGCAAGGCCUCGCAGCAGGAAGAGGCUGUUCGAAUUUGAAAGGAAAAGCCCGGGUUCCAAACCAGCGCACCAAAAAACAAAAAGAAGUGAGCCUUCAGACCGAAAGAACAAAUAAGAUAAGAAGAGCAGCUAAAAGGAAGGAAAGAGAUACGAAAGACAUGUCUUAAGCAUUAAGGAAGAAUUGAAUUUUGAUGCCAAGAAGAAAGAGGUUAAAGACAUAAUAUCUCAAGAGGAAAGCCUACCAUAAAUCAGAGGUUAGGAGCAAAGGAUAUUGACGCGCCUUGUUUUCAUUGACGAAACCUCUCCUUUAUCGCCUUCUCUCUCACGCAAUAUUCUUUGCGCCUUUGAUUUGCCUCCGGCUCUAUCAAGUCAUCAAGAUCAAGCCUAGCCUGAAUUCACAAGGCUCAAAGAAUUUGAGGAAUGAAUGAAUGACGCUUCUUCAACGGCUUUCUCUUUCUGACAAAUAGUAGGUUCAUUUUACUUUCUUCUUUUUCUACUUUAGUGGAAUAAGACUUAAAUAGUGGGACUUCGAAGAAGUCAUUUAGUGGUCACAUAUUAAGCUGCUCCUAACUAGUGGUAAAGGGUAGAUUCAUUCAUUCAACUCAUCUGGUCCGAAGGCUAGGUUCAUACGGAUAGUCCGGAGGACGGUUAGUUGGGCUUUUCUUUUUGGAGGAUCAAUGAAAUUUGAGAGAGUCAUGAUUCGGAGGUUAAAUAGGGCAAUAUUCUCAAUCUGAAAAGAGCCUUUCUUCUUUUCUUAGAUAAAUGCGCUUCGCUUCGCGCAUCUGGACCCCUUAGUUAGUCUUAUUGCACAGAUGUCUAAUUUUUCAGUGGAAGGCAAUAUUCCCCAUAUUAAGCUACGGAGGCCCCAUAAGACAGGGAUAUUGAUUGAGAGGUGCAAAGAUCUAUGGCCCAGCGGUGCCAUAAGACAGGUCCGAAGGACUAUCCAUUAGGGAAUGUGAGAAGCGCAUGAAAUUCAGAGGUGCAAAGAAUAUUGCGAAGGCUCAAAGAAGAUUGAGAAAUCCAUAUUAAGCGCCUAACGGAGGCUCAAAGGAUAUUGAGACAUUCUUUCUUUUUCAAUAGUGGUCCGGAGGCGCAAAGAAUAUUGCGAGGCGAAGGACUUGUUUCAGUUCCAGGCUUCUUUGCUCCUAACGCCACUCUCAACAAUAUCCCUGUCUUAUGGCACAUCUGCACCCUUGUUUUUUUUUGGAUAGCUCUGACCGAAGGAUGAAUUCAAUUUUCGAGAGAGAAAGAAUAUUUAUGAGAAAGAGUCUUCUUCUUCACUUAUGUCCGUAGGAGCCCCAUAAAUCAGAGGUUUUUUUUCUUUCUGAUCCUUAUUCACUUUUCCUUAUCAACAAUGAAAACAUGAAUACUAUUAUGAACCUUGUUCAUUGAUUUUAUGGAGUUCGGAUUGCUCGAAAAGAAGGAGGAUAGGCGAACCUUUUCCUUUCACCGCCUCAAUGAACAAGGGCCUCUUACUAGUAGGUUCUGGAGGCGUAGUAGGUUUAGUAAAAGAAAGCCUAUCUUUCUCUCAAAUUCUUUGAGCCUCUAGAGAAUUGAAUUUUGAUGCUUCCUUUCCUGACUGAACUUUCUCUUCCUAUUUCUUUAUGGAUGUUCAUUGAUUUCUCGUCUUAUUUGAGUCUUAUUCCUUUUAGUAUUUUUUAGGUUCAUUCUCAGGAUAGGUUUUUUUUCAUGAAAAUGUACGAUUUAUCUUAUUCAAAAUAUGAUACAUAAUAUCAGUCUCGUUUUGACUGUCCAAAUCAAGGUUCAAAGAAUAUUGACAAAUCCUUCCCCCCUGUAUUUUUGAUGAAAACCCCAUGCUGAAUUCCCUUGCUUCAUUUUGAGCAUGAAAACAAAGAACAGAAUGGCGAUCAGAAUUUGAGUCUUGUCUCUUUCAUUCUCAGUUCAAAGGAAUGAGCUAAAAUAUUAUUCAUUCAUAUGAAAUUCAGUAUAAGCUGAAGACACAUAAGGGCCCUAACCAUAUUUCGGCUCGUGAUCAAUCCAUAGAUACCGAUAGAAAAGAAAUAGGCACUUCUAAUAAGUACAUCUUCUCGCUGACCAACUCCUUAUCAAUUCCGAUUCAUUGAAAUAUGAAGAAAAUGGAUGAAAUGCAAUUUGGGGGUCGAUUUAGGUAGGCUCCUUCCCCUCCACUGCAUAGGAGCGCUAGCAGGUACUACGAGCCCUCUGUCCCACGCAUCUAACCCGCUCGCGUGGUUCACCGGUUCCACCGAAAACUCUCAUUUGUUGAAGGGGAGCAUAGUGCGCUUUAGGCACCGAGCGAGAAAGGUCUCUUCUUUCGUUUCGGUUUAUUCACUGAUCUGAAACUUAGCACUUCUUUUCUGAAACUUAGCACUGGGCUAGGCCUUCUUUCAUUCAGUCGAGACGAACCGAAUUAGCACUUCUCAGAUCAGGCUAGGCCUCUCCUGCUCGGGCUUAGGGGCCCUGGAUGCGCUAGCGAUCAGCACAUAGGGGGUGCUUGCCCGGGUUUCUCGGCCUGGUAUCCUGCACCUCGCGUUCAUGAUAUCUACAUUCAACUGUGCCCCGGAGACAGGGUCGAAGCACGCCCAGUGUGCUUCUUUCACGACAUGCUCUGGUCCCGGGUGUCUUCCAGUGGUCUUCUAGCCUUAGAAGAAGUCGUGUCCGUCCAGAAAGCCUAAAGAUGAAAUCAAAAAAAGGAAGACGUAGAAGGUAAAGGAGGGAGCGGACUACGGAGGCCUUUGAGUGGAAUCUUUGAUACAUUCUUAUAUGAGUCCGACCUAUCGAAAGUAGCGGAGGUUAUGAAAUAGCGCUCUUUUUUUUAUCAUAGCGAAUAGUCCGGAGGACAUGCCCUAGGAAUGAAGCUGAACCUUCGCUUCUCUUGAGAUAAUUCUUUUCUCAUAUUCAGUCAGAAGAACCGAGAAGUCUUUUUUGGUAAAGCUAAUCAAUAUAUAAGGAAUAGUCGCAAUAUUCUUUGCGCAUCUGGUCCCUUUUAUUUUGUUCUUUGCACUGGGGGAGGGAGCAAAGUGCAAAAACAAGGGUCCAGGUGACAGGUGGAAAUCUUGUUGAAGACGACCCACUCCGCGGUGCAAAGUCAGCCCUUCGUUAAUUACGGAAAGUCCUACUUCCUUCCAUAUGGAUGGUCCUACUUCGGUUAAUUACGGAUGGUCCUACUUCCAUAUGGAUAGUCCUACGGAUAAGAAUCCUCCGGACUCCGGACUACUUCCCUCCAUAUGGAUGGUCCUACGGAUAAAUCACCUGGACCUUUCUUUGGCCCUGCGGACUCCGGACCCUGGACCUUUCUUUGAUGGUCCUACGGAUAAAUCCUGCGGACUCCGGACGGAGGCGCAAUUCAAUAUGCGGGGAAUGUGAGAAGAGCAGCUCCAGCUAAAAUCAAGCUCUGGAUGAGUCUUUAUCUUAGGAGCAGCUUAAUAUAGACCGAAGGAGGCGCAAUGAAAUAUGCCUUGAAUGAAUGAAUGAAUCUACCUUUUUAACAUAAUCAGAGAUGAAAGUCAGAAAAUCAAUGAAGAAGUCAAUGCCCACGGAGUUCAUAUAGUAUUCAUGAAAAGGAAUUUCAUUCAUGAUCGAGGCUCAAAGAAUUUGAGUCCCACGCUUUUUUGCUUUUCUUUCUAGUCCAAGGACCAUUCGGUGACUUUCGCGGUCGCCCUCACUGAACCGACUUGAAUCUGAACUACGAUUCUGAUCAAGUCUUACCGAAAUCUUAUUUCCUUUUCGUGCCAUAUGCGCUUAGACUUUCUCCCCCUUGUUUUUCCCGGUCCAAUCUUUUUUUCUCGCUUUCGAUCUCCCAAGCAAGUUCACCAAUGUCCUGAUCAGUCAAAGAAAGCCAUAUACAUUCCUCCUUGGUUCCCCCCGACUCUUGGUAGUAGGGAGUCUUCGAUCUGAGAUAUCGGUAUUCAGUUUCUUUCUUACUUAAUUCGUUCUCCACAAAAUGGGAGAUUGGAAUAAGAGGAACUUUCUCACGGACAAGGGCAUUUCUCUCUUCCCCGGCACACUUGCUAUAUCCACUAAGGCUUCGUUAUCGGUUGCAUGCUAUAGAGCUAUGUCGUCGAGACUCUUUCUUUUUUCUCUCGCGUAAGCCCUGCCCUAUUCUAUAUACUAAAAUGUCAAAAGCUAGGAUCAGCGCAAAGAGCAUUCUUACUUGACCAAAACCCCUUUGGUUCUCACUGAAUUUGAACUCGUAGACAGACAGAGAAAUCGGAGAAGUUGCCAACGUCUUUUUGGGCAUCACCUUCCCUCGGCGACGUCCAUCUCAAUGUUCAAAACUCCAUAUAGCAUAAGGAAGAAGAAAGCCUACGCUGCAAGCUGUUUACACUCUGAGGAAUUAGGGAAUGCGGUGAGGGAUUGAAGUAUAGAGAAGUUCCUGCGUCGCGCCCACUACGCGGUUGGGAAGGAAAGGUUUCGGAUUGACUGGCUUCGUGAGAGGUUGAAGCUGUACCAUCUCUAUCUGCAGAAGCUGUAGCCCCAUCUCUUUUAGCAAGUUCUAUUCCUUAUCAAUGACUGAAUUCAAUUAAGGCUAACUACUUAGAUAAAGCUAGGCUAGGGUCACUACUGUGGCUGUGUGAGAUAUGGUUUGUGUGCCGGUGGAGUAUCUAAAACCACUUCCUCAUCCCCCCCUUGUUCAUUGAGGCGGUUGGCUUUCUUGCUUUUCUUUUUGAAGUUUGAAAAGUCCUGUGAAACUAUAAGGAAUUCAGCUGUCAAGGAAGAAGAAGGAGGGUUUGAAUAUGAAAUAGUCUUUGGUUUAGUGAAUCUAGAUUGGAACUGCUGUCCUUUCUCUUUUAUCAAGGAAUGAAUCUAGCUAUCCUGCUUAGCUACUAAAGCUAGGGUUGCAGAGGCAUCAAAAUGCAAUUCUCUCUACAAAGCUUUUUUUGUUCUGACUUGCCGCUGCUCUAUCUCCUUUCCCAUAGAGAAUCUCACUAUUGAUUCAUUGGGCGAAAAAUGGUAUGUUUCAACUCAAAUUCUUUGAGCCUUGUUCAUUGAUGGCCUAAAUGCUAUUUGCCUUCUACUUCCUAUAGGAUAUCCUGCUUUGUGCUACUUUCAUUCAUUCAAGGCAUAUUUCAUUGCGCCUUCUUUUUGUCCAUUUCGAUAGAUCGGAUUUGGCCACUUCUCUUCCGACAACAGCUUCCGUAACAACCCAAUCCUCGAUCUCACUAUGGUUAACACAUGCAAUUGGAAUUGGCUCUUUCCUCCUUUCAUUUCAGGCAAGGACUAGAGUCCGCUUUUGAUAAUAGGUGGACAUAUCUCACGAAUACGGUUGAUGCCAUAAAUAUGGACACGCUAGGGGACUGCGGGGCAAGGGCUUUGCUAUGGUCAACAAUCGGGCUUCAUGCCAUCAUCCCUGAAUUUUGACUAUGCAUGCUUGCUCUUCGUACAGUGAAGUUCCUUGCAGCAAUCGGAUUUUUCAAACCUUGCUCCUCUAAGAGUUCCGGGCAAUCGACAAGUACCAACCAGAAAGUGAAAGUGGAAUGAGACAUAAGAAAAGAAACUUACUCAUUCAUUGAUCUAUUUUGAUGCCAUUCAGUUCCAUUAGACUUUUAAGUGCUUUCGUCUUAUUUUUAGGUUUAGAAGGCGCAAAGAAUAUUGCGAGGCGAGGAAGAAUUUCAAAAAGAAAGAAUGUCUCUUCUCAAAUACUUUGAGCCGGAGUUAGGCGCAAAGAAUAUUGCGAGACCGCUCCGAAGGCUAGGCGCAAAGUUCGGUUAAUUACGGAAAGUCCUCCUUCGGUUAAUUACGGAUAGUCCUACUAGGUCCAUAUUAACUUUUCACGAAGAACGUCAAAGUAUUGAAAUAGAAGAAAGAGGUACUGCUCCUCGUUCAACUUGUGUGAAUUGCAGUUUCCCGGUAACAUCCAUAGGAAGCGAGACCCUAAAGAGAGAGAGUCCGCUCUCCCGGAUUGAGUCGGGGAGGAUUAGUAGUUGGAUUCCGGAAUUGAAUAACUAAGAGAAAGCGAUACCGUAAACUGAGAAGCCUCCGACGGCGAGUACUCUUUGGAGGAGUCAAAUCAAAGCUCCAGAUGAGUUGACGCUCGACGAUAAGAGGAUCGGGCUUGCUCUCUAACUAAUAGAAGUACUGGUAAGACCUCUAGAGGUAAGACCUCUGAAAGGGUAAGACCCAGAGACUUCUUUCUUUGAGUUUUCCUCUUCUUCAUCCUUUUGUCGCGCUGACUCUUCCUAAUUCUUUUAGUACUUCUUCCUCAGUCAGUUCCCUAGCCUCUACCCUACUCUUUCCAGUUUGCAUGUGUUAAGUAAAGCCUCUCCGCAAUAUUCUUUGCACCUCUUCGAAAAAACUAGAUGAAGAAGGCUAGGCUUUCUCUUUAUUUUAGUAGGUUCUUUGGAUAGGCUUUCUUAAGAAUAAGUUGCUUUGGCUAAGAAUAGGUUUCAUUCUCAAUGAAUUAAUAGAACAAUCAAUCUCAGAAAUGAGAUUUCGAAAUUACAUAAGUUAAGAACUGGUAGUUCUUGCUUUCUCUAUCGAUCGGAUUCUGAUCUUUCUGUCUUGAGAAGGCCCCAAGAAGCCUUGUAGUCGGCUGGUCCACGUAUGCUUAGUACAAAGCAAUAGAGAAGAGAUCUUUGAACUAGCUUCUUUCUAAAAGGAAGACGGAGAAUAAAGGCAUAAGAGCUUCAUUCUCAUUCUUCAUUGACAUAGGUUCCAUUUCAAAAGCAAAACUCAUUACUACUUAUUAGUUCUGCAUUAGUAUUCUUCUUUCGUAUUUAUGAUUUCGAAAUCCUAUGAACAUAGAAUAUCAACAAAAAACUCCUGCUCAAUGAAUUCAGCCUUGCUAACCCACCUUUCUACGCUUCUCAAUUUCAUCCAGCCUUCAGCCUCUUUACGAGCAGCCCCGCCCGACCUUGCCAUACUGGUCUAUUCAGAGAAAAUGGAGAUGAGGCUUUCCGAUCUGGUCCGAACCCUACUUCUUAGUUAUUGCUGGCGGGCUAGUCAAGUUCAAGAAAAGAGAAACUAACUCGUAAAACCCUCAUACCUGCUCUCCGGACCAAGGUCUAGCGGACUCUUCCUUUAGUGCUCGAACCAUCAACCUUUGCCUAUUUAAUAGAAUGAAUGACUUGCACUCCUCGCAAUAUUCUUUGCGCCUGGAAGUCGCUUCGCGCACCUGGUCCGAAGGACUGACCGCAGAGGUUAGAAGUUUCCAGAUUUCUAAUGGGCAAUAUUCUCAUAAAAAGUGGAAGGUGCAAAGAAUUUGCCGGGCUGAGGCUGAAUUCAAUAUGAGAGGCUCAAAGAAUUUGAGAGAAGCGAAGUGCAUUCAAUGGAGAGAGAAAGAAAGGCUCAAAGAAGAUUGAGAAAUCCAUAUUAUGCGCCUCCUUCAGCAUAAUCUAUAAGAGGAUUUGCACCUAGGGAUCAUGACUCAUCGCAAUAUUCUUUGCACCGCUCCGCUCCGUGGGUCUGCGAAAUAUUUAAACGAUGACAUUCUUUCGCAAUAUUCUUUGCGCCUCUGACUUUUUUCCUAUAAACAGCGUAGGAAGGACGUCCUCUGGACCUCUCUUAUCCACUAAGUCAAAGGCCUAGGCUUUCUUCAGUAUUUUUUAGAGGAAAUAAACCUCAUUUUUACCGCCCCGUGGGAGGGGUUCAUUCUCAUGCAAAGGCCUCUCUCCAUACUAAUUCUUUCAAAGCGAGGAGUUGCAAGCUACCUUUCAGAUUCAAGAGAUCAUGAAAGCGGAACAAGGAGAGAAAGGACGACUGAUUCAAGAGGGUUGCUCUCGCAGCUUCGCUUUUCAUUAGUUUGGCGUCCUUCUACUUCAACAUAGAAUUCCCUAUUAUUCAUGAAAUGAACCGUCCGCUCGAUCCGUUAUAGGGCAUUGAAGGCAUAAGGCAAAUAGCCUGACUUUUGACUCGUCCGAAGGACUGAUUUAUCCAAUUAUAAGGCUGAAAGAUCUCAAUCUUCCUUUCUUAGUCGAUUUGAGGUUCCAAGAUUCCUUCCCUGAAACCCCCUGGUUGGGUUAGGAUCAGCUUUACCCGGAAUAGCUCGAGAAAAAAGGAGAGGAGUGGAACUGCUCGACUGUAAGGAGAGGAUCAAGGCUCGAGAGUAAGGAGAGGAGAGGUCAGAAUCCGUCCCAGUCCCGGAAGAGGUUAGAAUAGAAAGACCGCUCGAUUCAAUUGAGUCGACUGAGUUCUUUCAGGAGAUAGAAAAGGGGAAGGAGUCCAGAAUAUAAUAGAGGGGAAUUCGCUUUCAGCAGUUGCAAGAAGAAGAAGUCGAUUUUCUUCUUCCAGUUGAGGAUAUUAUUCUCUUUCUUUCUUUCUCUUUCUUUCGUAGAUGAACAAACUCAUAUUCCCAUUAGUAGGAGAAAUUAAGGCAUUGAAGGAGAAUCAAGGUAAGACGAUCUUUCCCUAGCUCGACAGCUAAGAGGCACCCUCCCCAACUAGGGAGAAAGUAGGGAGACCAAAUAGGAUAGAGGGAGAAAGUCGAUCAUAGGUUAGGCUUACCCAAGCCGCUAUCCGGUCAGAAGGCUAUCUAUCAAUCGUCCGCAAGGUUAGCCGCAUGAGAACUGGUGUGUGGAAGCUUAGCUUAGAAAGGCGUCUUGUCCUAAUUCCCCGUGUAAUGAAUGAAAUCAAGUUUUCAAAGUAAUCAAAGCUUCAUGUGUUGGCGAAGAACUUUCACAAUUCAAUAAGAAGAAGAAGAAAGCCCACCUUCCAACUGAAAUCAAGCUGAGGCGCUUCGGUUAAUUACGGAUAGUCCUACUUCGGUUAAUUACGGAUGGUCCUACGGAUAAAUCCUCCGGACUACUUCCAUAUGGAUAGUCCUCCGGAUAAAUCCUGCGGACUCCGGACUCCGGACUCGAAGAUUGAGAAAGAAUUUGAGAAAGAAUUGAGUUGAGUGAUUCACACUGAAAAGCGUGAGGGUUGUCGGCAAGGAAAGCCUCCGAUAAGAACCUAUAACCAUACAUAAUUCGAUUACAGACUCAAACUCUCGACUACUACAUCAAUCCACAGGAAUUCCUAACAUAGAAAAGAUCUCCACCUCCUCGAGGCUAUAAAAAGGGAAAAGAGGCCUGACGGAGCAAAAGAAGAGUUGCGGGGGGCGAGGCAAUGCCAAUUGAGAUAGUUGAAUCGGCGGUAGACUAAAAAUCCCCAAUUCCCCGGGUUCUAUGGGGAAAGUCCCCCUCUUAUUCAAGUAGUGAAGAUUUCGCUUCGGUAAGCAUUCGUCAACUCAUCCGGAGCUUCUCAAUAUUCUUCUAGGUGCAAAGAAAGAAUAUUGCCUUGAAGAGAUGCCAUCUGAUCUUUCCUGGUAAAUAAGGGCAAGGCCAAAAAGACUAAGGAUUUGCAAGAACUGAAAUUCAAGGAAAUGGAUCUUUUUUUUUGAAUAAUAAGCUAAAGGGGCGCAUCGGUAAAGACAUUAGACUUAGCUCUUCAGGAUAAGUGGGAUCAAUUCUUUGCGGCACCCGGUCCAAGAGAAGAAAGACUGCGCUUUCUCUAUGCGAUUCCAUGAUCUACUUGGGAGGAAUCCGUCGAUGUGGUCAAGCUCACACCUCAAUGUGUGGAAGAAAAGAAUACAGAUCGAAUCAUCACCGGAGAGGAAUGAAGUAGGGAGACUGGGUCUUAGUAGAAGAAAAGUGAACAAGGUGAGACCCACUCCGAUCCCGAUAAUAGGGCUAGGGCCCCGAUCCUCUUCUUCUCGAGCUCCUCCUCUUUCUACUCCCAACUCCGCAUCGGGGACUGGAAGAAGAUCUUCCCUCUUACGAUACUGGGAAGGCAUACUGGGUACGGUUCUCCUUCUCCUACCGCUCCGUGGGAUUCUUUAUCCAAAGGACAGAGAUCCGAUGAUCCUGCCAAAGAGAAAGGGAUGGCGGAUCCCCGCUUCCCCUCUGCCACUGAAGAAAGAAGAGCAAAGGGUCAAAGAAUUUGAGUGGUCUCGCCGCUGAACUCCUUUCGUACUCAACCUCUUCGGUCAUCCUUUAAGAUAUGGUCAUUCAACUCAUCUAGAGCUUUUCUUUUUGGAUUCCUAAGCUCGGUGAGGUUAUGAUGCCCCCCAGCCCGAAAUAAAUAGAAGUCGUAGUAUUUUCCUUCUCUCGUGGGUGAAGCUCCUUCCCUCCUUGUACUUAAUAAGAAAUUAUAUCAGAGAAGAAUGAUCGAAGCUAUUUUACUUAAACCUUCCUUAAGAGCUUCGCUCCCUUCCCUCUUAUCUGACCUCUAAGAUGAGGCCUCAACCCGAUAAUACUGGGUUUCAUGCGCAAUGAAUAAGAAAUCGCCGACGGCGAAUCAAAUUGGCCUUGCAGAAUUCACUCUCCCGGAUCGAGCGGGUUUACAGUCUAUAAUCACUGUAUUGAGAAUAAUAUACUCUAUGUGGAUAGGAGCUAGUCCUACUAUUUAUUAAGCUCGCAACGGCUGGUCUUUCUACUUCUGACCACGAGGGAAACUGAUCAUGGAGAUUCCGACACCUAUCUGACCUAUUAUUUCCUUGUAAACUCAGGAAAGGAUAUGAUAACCUCUUCUUCUCCUUUACGGGAGAGCAUACCUGGUCUCACUCAAUUAGAUCCUUCGAAUAGAAUAAGACGGUCAAGCAUAUUCAUUCCUCGUAUGAAGAUGGAAGACUGAAACUCGGUCUCUACUCUCCAACCCUCUAACCUCUCUUUCACCUGCCUGGAUUUGGGUCGAGAAUCCCAUUCUACCCGACUAACUAAGUCUGAUGAAAGCUAGCCUUACGAAAUUUCAAACAAAAGAAAGCGCAAAUGGGGUGGAAGCCUCAGGCUACUUCCUUUCCUCUCUCCGCAUGGAUUUUGGUGAGGUUCAAAGAUCCAUGAAAAAUCAAGCUCCAGAUGAGUUUCAAGUUUUUCAACAUAUUUCUUCUUUCUUCUUGAAGCUAGGGCAUCCUCCUAUCGGGUGAGUUGAUGCUAGGGUGGUGCUUGCUCUUAACCAAGUGCCUGAAAGAAAAUUGCUCAAUCAUCCCAUUCCGGGUUCUUUUUUGAACCUUCUUUUUUUCCUGAUCAAAUCUCUAAAGAAAGAGAAGAAGACAAGUUGGGACAUCUUAAUCCCAGUGAAAAGAGAAAGAAGGCUAAUUGGCUUAUUUCUUCAUUCAUUGUCUGAGAAAGGAUUGGUUUAUCCCCUUUUUUAGGCCGAGGACCUUGGGAAAGCUAGCUCAUUCCCCUACUGAUCUUUCAACUACCGCUUCAAAGUAAGCCGCUCCUCCUUCCCCUCACUCGCCGACUCCAGCACCGCUACGUGGGCUUGGAAUGGGUGAGGACAGACGAAGCUCCCUAUAAAAGAGAAAAGAAUUUGAUACGCCUCAUCGAGAUUGACUCCUUUUCAUUCAUCGAUAAAGACCGAGGGGAAUUCGGACAAGAGGCCUGCCGAUCACUCCCCGCAAUCAGACUCGGUGGCCGGUCGAGCUCAGUCUUCUCUUCUUGCAUCCAUCAGGAAAUUCUGCAUGAAGAAAAUAAGAAAAUACGAUUUCAUCCUUUUCUUUCGUACUCUUGUACUCAAAUAGACCGAAUUCAAUAUCUUCUGAAAAGAAGAAGAUAUCCUUUUUUUCUUGAAAAGUGACCUCAUAAUCCGAUAUUCAGGAGCGGAGUGGGGAUUUGAAAGAGUAUUCCAAAGAUUACUAUCGGGGCGGAGAGGUGCGAAGGAUUGAGACGGAGUUCACUCAAAAGAAGAAGUCUACUUAAGAAGAGCUUUAAGAGAAAGAGAAGUCAUUAGACGAGAUCACUUAUCUUAUAUCUUUUUCAUAUUUAUGUGCCCGAUUAUGAGGAUCGAGAUUUGAGAACUGAGUGCUUAAACUCUUUCUCCGGUUCGGGGCAUAAGGAUGAGGCUUCGGCGGGACGGACGGAUUAGUCCUUACCUCCCACUCAAGUCGACUUUUCCUCUGAUAAUGGAGGAGGGAAUCCGGGGGAUACGAACUCCCUCUCUCCAACUAGCUCUACCCUGGUCACUGGGUCAAGUAACUCCUCUCGCUUUAUUAGUUUAGCUCGAGCCUCCUCUCAUACGGCAUAUAUGGCUUAGUGAGAGAUCCUUUACUUACAGUGGGGCUGGGGAUGCAAGAAGAGAAGAGGAAUCUGUCUCGGAUCGAUAACUAAUCCAUAGUUUUCUUAGAAGGAGAAGUUCAGGCUUUUCUUCUAUUUGGCUGAGGCUGUAGCAGUUCUUGAAGAAAGAUUCCCUUCUAUAGCUCAAAGAAUGAUCGAAGAAAGCAUUCUCAAUUCUGACUCGUGUAGUGAGAUUUUGAAAUUACGUAAUUCAGGUGCAAUCAUUACGCUAUCGGCCUGGGGAAGAAUGAAGAUCUUCUUAUUCUCUUGAUCUUUCGAAAACCUUACGCCCACUUAGCCCUCAGUGGCCGAUAUACAGGUGCCUGCGAAGCCGGUCAAGGUGAGGGUAGAGUACAAAGAGAAAGUUUCCUCUUUCUUUCCCUAUCCUUUCAUAUAAGAGAGAAUAAAGACUUUGAUGAUUAAGCUUCAUACUGAAAGUGCUCAUUCAUCACUAGGUUUUGCCGCGGAAUGAAAAGGCAGAAUUCGCAGAAUUAGAGGAAGAAGACAUAAAGGACCUCACUCUUCCUUAUCAAUGAAAACCUUCUUGAAGUAGCAGUGUCGGAAUCUCCACUCACCCCGGUCAGCAAGGAAUCCCUCUCUUUCAUCAGAGGAUGCUGACUAAGCUCCCCCUUCUAUAGAAAUGAUAGAGAGUUCAGGCAUAAUCAUUCAAUUCUUCCUUCUUUUUCUAGUAGGUUUUGUUCCUAUCUUAUGUUUCGGCUCUUGCUCUCCUCAUCCGUGGGUUUUUCCUCAAGCCUCAUCCCUUUCCUCAUUAAGAGGUCUUCUUCAUACGAGGUAGAUAUUAUGGUACGAAAGGUCUACAUCAAUCUAUAUUCACGCUGGCCUUUUCACAUGCGGGAAGUAGUGGUCUUUCUCCUUCAUUCAACGGCAUGAAUUACGGUCUGGAGCUAGGAUAGGCUGCUGGUAGGGAUCAAAUUACUCUAGUGGAAGGAAUAUGCCAAUUCUCAGAUCGAAGGCCAGACCCCGAAUAGCGAAGUGGAGACAGGAAUCGGGGCUAAGUCGCUGGACCGCUGAUAGGGAAUCAAGGUAAGAGGCUCCCCCUGAAUUAGUUCUUUCCGCGGUUGCUUAAGUAGACGCUGUAGCCGUUGAAGGUCUUAUGGAUAGAUCCGCAAAGAAAGAAGUGGGAUUUCACUCUUUGUAGUACUGGGAUUGAGAAGGAUUGAAUUUCCCAUGAAAUAGAGUUUAGGCCGACGGCCAAUGCAUGCAUCAGGCAUCUUUCUCCUUCUCCUUAAAGAACGGAGACAGCGGCGGCACCAGACCGACCAAUUCAUAGUUCAUGCGCGGAAACCCACAGAGGGUAAAGGACAGCAGCUCCAAUCCUGGCACCGCUACGUGGGGAAGAGAAGAGUUCUGAUCCCUCCUCCUACGCACAUAUUGAAUAAGCUUUCAAAAGGUAUAAAUCUUCUCUUCUGAUCUUUCUCUUAGAAGAUAGAGGAAGAGGAAAGCCUAUGGAAUACUCUGGAAAUCAGAUAAAAACCUUCUACUCGUCUUUGAAAUCAUAAAAAACCUCUUCUCAAUCUCGCACAAUACCCCUUUUUUAUGGAGCCUCCUUUCGUCUGCUUUUUAAUAGAAUGAAUGACUUCCUCGCAAUAUUGCGCAUCUGCGUGGGCCACGAUCUUUGCGCCUUCUCUCACUUCGGAAAGAUUUAGCAGUAUUUUCUUAUGAUGACCUGGUCUUCCGAGUAUGAUACAUCGGUGUAAAAGAUUGAGUGGGAGUUCGGAUCUCGAGUACAAGCCAAGGAGAAAGACUGCCAUCUCAGGCAUACCAUCGACAGAGUAAGGAAAGGACAGUUGCUUUCUAGCGAGUCACUCCGUCUCCUUUUUUUUGGGGUAACCCCUUUGCACCAUUGUGCUUACUUACAGGUAAGGGGAAAAUCUUAGAAGUGAAUCACGUUCGAGUGCUUCUGUCUUCGAGCCAGUACCCUUUCGUCACAAGGGAUAAAGGAUAAAGAAAGUCUCUGUUAUUCACCAGUGCGUACAUUGCCUUUUCAAGCGGCUAGUUUCUUGCCGUUCAUAUAGAUCACUAAGGCUAGACAGCAAAUAAGCUAGUUUAGUUCCCUCACUGAUCCCUUUCUUAGCCAGAACAGUUAGAAAAGGAGGAUUAUUUCAAGUUCAUUUUUGAUAUUCAUAUUCACAUGGGACAAUCUUUCGAGUCCUAUCUCUACGGGACAUGAUAUCCAGCUCUAGCUUUCCUUGUAUAGGGUUCUAAAAUACAUCCGAAUCCGAGGAAUGACUGCUCUUACUAAGACCUGAAGGAACUUUUGAAAGGCAACUAGUGAAGAUGCGCCAAUACCCCUCUUUCCAUAAUUAUUGCUGAGACAUGCUCCGAGAGGGUUAGCCCCAGCUAUCAAGAUGGGCUAAAAUAAAAGGUCACACCUCUGUCCUAAAAUCAAAGGAAGAUCUCGGGAACGGCUCAGAACUGCCAAUAAGGAAAAAUCAAGCUCCAGAUGAGUUGACCUAUCCAUUAAACAAGUCCGGAGGACAGGUCAAAACACCGGAAAAAAAAUUGCUUAAUCAGGUGGUAAUUGAAAAAGGCUUGCUUAAGGGAGCUCAAGGCCCAUUCACUAUGGGUGCCAGCCCUUACAGGCUACCUACCGGAUCACUACGGCACGUGAGGCAACGUCCUCUACGAAAAGAAUUCUGAAUUGGUCCGCAGCUCAUACUUCAUUUUUUUCCCCUAUCCGAAGAAAAUUAGGCGGUUGUUGGAAAUACGGAGGGGGCCACUGGUAAAGUGGGAAAGAGGAACUGUAUUGAGAAAGUCUACCACAGUUUCCCGAUAAGGGAAAAGAGAUCUUGAUUGACAAGCAAGCAUUUCCCAAGACCGCACAAGCAGCGCCGCUUUCUAUUCAUGACCACUCCCGAAUCAGAAGGUGAACCUACGGCCGUAGACUUUGAAGUUGCCCAAGGCUCAAAGAAUUAUCGAAGAGCAGGCGCAAAGAAUAUUGCGGCAAGUUUGAAAGCCUUUAAGCAUUCCCCGGUGCUUAUGCACCUUCUAAAAGUCUCUGUCCCUGUAUCGUCAAACUAUUAAGGAAACUUCUUUCAUAAGCAUAGCUUAUCUUUAUUGUAUAAUAGCUAACCAAGAGCUUGAAAGCGGCUACAGUACUUAUUUGAUUUGGAUUGCUUUCCUCCAGCUAUACUACGGAAGGAAUAGCUUUCCCUGGCGUGUUGAAGCUUGACGAAGAUGAAAUGAAUUGGGCAUUUGUCCCGUCACAAGAAUCAGCGGCAACCCCUUCUCUUCCUUAGUGGCACAAGCCUCCUUUUCUAUUCAUGGGAGCAGUAAAGGGAGAACUCAAUUCCAUUCUUUUUGAAAGCAUAACUUGGGCUGUUGUCGAGCUAUCCCUCACCUCGAUGAAAAUACGGAUAAAAGUCUAUCUGGCCCUCAUAGGAAUCGAGGAAAGAAGGAUUUUAGCAGCUGGGUAGUUGAGUUCUCCGCUGUUCGAGCUUUAGAGGAAAUAGCAAAUCCUAGAUCACCGAACGAAACUCUGGGAAUUGAUAGAUAGCAAGAAGUUAGGCCGUCACACUAUCUGGUUCUGGAAGUUCUAUAGCUUUCUUUGAUUGGCUAAUCCGAACAAAAAAAAGAACCCUAAUAAAGGAAAAGGCAUGACGGACAUCAAUCCCGAGGGGAAGAAAAGAGGCACGAGUGAUAUCUCACUGGGGAAGAAAAGCCAUAACCCUAUCUGCAAAGAUCCACAGGCACUCCUAAGGCUUGGUGAGCACUUAGUCAUUAACAAAGAUUACCUUCUCCAUUUGAUUUAGAGAAAGUAUGCUCCUGGCUUGCCACCCGAAGAAGGGAAUUCUAUUUCAUACGUUUUCCUGUGGCUUGAGUUCUGAGACGAAGAUAAGGCUUGCCUUUGAAGGGACAUAUGGAAGAGCAUCUACGAUGCGGAGCUUGUGCUUGCUGCCUAUCCACUUGGCGAGUAAGAGGCUCUGUGCAAGAGUGGAAGGUAUUCCUUCUGCCUUUGGCUGCUCUUCUUAGCCUAGCCGCUUCGUGGUCAUUCAAUUCUGGCUUAGUCAAUCCCUGAACUUGCCUCUGUCAAUAUUCUUUGAACCUGCCCCUUUUAGUUUAGUAGUGCUUUAGUCAUUCCCGAACCCCCUCCUUUGCUAUUGGACUUCUUUGAAGUCGAGACUGAUUCCGAUCCUUGUCAGUCUAUAAUACCUCUCCCUCAACUGAUCAUUCCUCUCUUCUGUGCUUCACACAAUUAGUAGGAGCUUUCCAAAGAAAUAGCUUAGUAGCCACAACGGAAUCAUUAGCUGACCUGUCUUUCUUAGAAUGCUUUCCUUAUUCCUUUCCUUAAGCAAAGGAGUCAAAGACCUCCCUAACAAUUGAAUAGCGUAGUUUCGUAGCCGAGUCAGUUGCCUUUUAUUCAAUCUUUCUUUGGAGGAAGUUCAAAGUCUUUCUUAGAUUAUUCAGGGGGCAAGGAAUCCAAGCGAAGUGGUCAUACCCGAGACAAAAGAUAAAUGAAACUGGGUUCAGAUCCUUUCUCAAUCAGUUAAGCAUUCUCCUUCGCUCAAUUCAAAGUAUCGGGGAGGCAAUUUUCUUGUUUACGCGUGAGCUCUUAGGGUGCUAGCUUUACUAACUCUUAUUUAUGUAAUUAGGCCGAGAAAGGAUUGUGAGACCAACGAGUGCCCGCUCUUCUCUCUUUUUCAAGGUAAUUCAAUCCCAGCGGAGUCUGACUUCACACACUAUAUCAAAAGAAAAGACUAGCUGACCCACCCUUUCUUAUUACAGGAAUAGACCCGACGCGGAUCUGACUCCUGCCUUAGCGCGAACUCGGUCUCGUGAAAGGGAUGAGGCUUGAGGUCCUAUUCUUCUUAUUCUACCUUCCCAUAGGGUGAAUUCUUCUUUUCUUCCCUUUUCUAUAGUCAGAUCUUCCUCAAUGAAAAGGGCCUAUUCCCCCAUAGAUUACUUUACUGACUUGACUGGAAUUCAUUCAAAAAGAGUCAAUUCACUGGUCGGUCUCAAAGAAACUAGUGGUCCAACUCUCAUUCCUCAUGGAGUGACUGAGGAAAGAGAAGCUGCAAUGCAUGAAGAUCUCAUGAAACUCCCACGGGGCGGUCGAGAUCAAGAGGAAGAAUGAAGUAGAAGAGUAAGCGCGAAGGACCCCGCUCCACCAAGAUUAAGGAUGCCUUCUCCGUGGGGUUUUCAUAGAAUGAAUAAAAGGAUAUGCCGAGAGAGUUUCAGAAGUGGAAAGUUCAUUCCCAGUCGACCAAGAGUGGAAGGUUAGAAGUUCCCUAGUAAGGCUAAGAAGAAGCUCGACAGAGUUUAUGAGGAAGACUAAGUCAAAGCAUCUUCAAGUAUGAGAGGUUGAAUCAGUACUCUAAGAAGAGGAAGGAACAUCCUGCUUUUUUCCGGAGCGAUAUAAAGUAGCUCGACAGCAAAGUCAUUGAAAAAUCAAGCUCCUUCUCAAUCAGGACUAUCCAUUUUUUCUGUAAGGAGAGGAAGGAAAUAAGAUAAAUAGGAAUUUGAGUACCGAGCUUUCAUAAGAAGAAAGAAGAGCAAGGGAUGCAAGAACCGCUACGUGGGGUGGGGCCUUUGUCCUCCACGAGCCGCCGAUUCCUCUGUUGGGGAGUUUUUCCCUGUGCACGAGCCGCUACGUGUCUUACUGAUUUAUGAUUGAAUCAAUCCCUCUCUCUCUCGUUCUAGAACUCAGUCGAUCCACUAUUAAACCUCUCCUUUUAUAAAAGGUUGAAUAGUCCUCCGGACGGCUUUCUUCUUUGAAAUCUCAAAUCAAAGUCAGAAGACGAGAGAGGGAAAGUCAAUGAAUUCAUGGAUGACUUUUAUCCCUUGUAAUUUGCUUAACUUAAGACAAGGCUCAAAGAAUUUGUCAAUAUUCUUUUCACCUCUUUCGAUUUGAAUUGGACUUUAGUAGCUCUCGCUCCUUCUAUCCUUUCGUCCUCCCCUAUCUUUGAGUGAGAGCUGGAGGCUUAGAAUAAGCUGUCUUUUUCGUUCUGAAAGCUGAAAUAGUAGGAAAGUUCAAGUGGAAGAAAUGAGAAGCCUAUCCAAGAAAAGCCUAGGAGAAGGAAAGCCGUCAGUCCGGAGGACGGAGAAGAAGUUAAUAUGGUUGAUUUCAGAGGACUCAAAGAAUGAUCGAAAGAAUAUUGAAUUGAUGUCUUUUUUCAAAGUGAACAAGUAGAAGGAAUGAGAACAAGCAAGAAGCCCACCGAAUCAGGACAGCCUUCGGCGCAAAAGUUGUUGUCAAAUCAUCCCCACGAGGUGCCCAAGAGCUUUCUCACCCCUUUCGGUCGGACUCUUGGGGAUUCACUCUUUAGAAUAGGAUAGGGCGGGACGACCCAGUUGAAGCAGAACAGUUUGUUUAGAAAAUGCCAUUUUUCAUGCUUAUGGGUUGAAUGACUGAAAUCUACAGCCCUUGCACUCCGAGACAGCGCCAUUACACUCCAUCCCUGCUACCCCUUGGAAUGAGCCCAAGUCCGGGUGCUUAGGCAGUUGAAGCAAGACCCCGUUUAGGGCCACUCCGUCUUCUCAUGGAAUAUCUUUCUUCUAUCUUACCUAUAGGAUACCGAUUAAUACGAAUGGGAAGAAAUUGAAUAGGACUUGAAUCAAUCCCAUAGGAUGAAAGAGGCCGACGGCUCAGCUGCUCGAGCUAGUUGACUCGGUGUGAACUAGAAUCAAGCUAGAAGAUAGAGAGGACGCCUCACUCGAAGGAUAAGCAUGAGUAUUCCUGACCUCAUCCCUUGAAUAACCUCGUGGAGGUUCAAAGAAUUUGAAUGCGCUUUCUUCUUAGUAGUUGAUCAAGGUCGGUUAGAAGAAAGGGAACGGGGGAAGCACUCUCAAAGGGAAGGGGAAGGGAAUUCUAUGUUGAAGUGAGAAGUUAGAGUAUUCUCUCUGUCAUUAUCCGUUGAGUCAGUGGUGCAGCCCACGGAGCGGUUGAAGAAUCGGGCAAGGCCCCAAAACUCAGGAUAGGCGAAGGAGGAGACCCAUCAUUGUAAAUCAAUCGGAAUGAGUAACUUCAAGAAAAGUAGAGCGGGAAGAGGUUAGAGUAUGCGAGAGCAGGAGCAGGUAGUCAUACGACUGAUAAGGAUCCGUAGACCAAUGUAGAAGCUUAAAGACUCGAGAGGAGACUUUUUUUCUUAUCAUAACUGGAUCGAGGGUAGAGAUCCAAGACUCGAAAGAAAUAAUCAGAGCUUCUUCUCUCAACUUCUAUUUUUUAUGGAUUCCUUGCUUCGCUUUUUCUCUGAAAUCUCUCCCUUUGUCAUUCUAAUGGAUAGUCUCAUCACCCCAUUAAUAAAGUAGCUUCAUUCAAUGGACCUAAUCUCAAAUUCUCUAAUGGAUAGGACCCACGGAGCGGUGCAAAGAAUAUUGCGAAGGACGGAUAGGUUUUUAGUUCUUAAAGGAAGAUGAAAUAUUCUUCUCCGCAAUAUUCUUUCUCUGGGUCCUCCUUCCUUCCAUAUGGAUGGUCCUACUUCGGUUAAUUACGGAUGGUCCUACGGAUAAAUCCUCCGGACUACUUCCCUCCAUAUGGAUGGUCCUACUUCUAAUGGAUAGUCCUACUUCCAUAUGGAUAGUCCUCCGGAUAAAUCCUGCGGACGUAGGACUCCGGACUACGGAUAAAUCCUGCGGACGUAGGACUCCGGACUACUUCCCUCCAUAUGGAUGGUCCUACGGAUAAAUCACCUGGACCUUUCUUUGGCCCUGCGGACUGCGGACCCUGGACCUUUCUUUGGCACUCCGGACCUGUCUUAUGGCGCCUUCUACGCGGUCCCGGUCUCUUCCUUCCUCCAAGCAAGCAGUAAAACGGGCAAUGUCUUUAGCUUCAUAAAGCUAUAGAAGAGGAUCAAUAAAGUUCCAGGAAAUAGUAAAGUCAAGC
Molecule: long non-coding RNA, 37906 nt
Filed under: Cucumis sativus (cucumber)
Lineage: Eukaryota; Viridiplantae; Streptophyta; Magnoliopsida; Cucurbitales; Cucurbitaceae
Description: long non-coding RNA (CSAT_LNC000007)
Source: RNAcentral